ACAACGAGAUCGUCAACGUACGUACAAUCUAGGAGCGAUGUUCUACUUUCACCAACUCAAAAUGAUGUUUCUUUACAGUCUGUUGAGACCCCAACUUCUCUAUCAACGUAAAUCUCUUCAACAAGUUCUCAAUAUACUAAGUAUACGAAGAGAAAUAUUAGGAUGUUAACCGUGUCCUCUUGGAAGUAGACUUCGAAGAGUGGAGGUGUACUUACAUUUAUGACUCGGUGCUUUCUUUUUCGAUUCACGAAAAGAUUUACUAUAUUCACUUCAUCUGGUUCUAUUCAGACUGAACCUCUUUAUAACAUCGCGUGGGAACCAUUCCACCGGACUUCCACUUAUAAAACUGUAAGAUAGAACCACCUUCUGGGUACCAAGUGUCAUAGGAUAGGAACGAUACCAACGUUCUCUACAAAACCGAUAAGGACGGAGGUUUCAACGUAGACUUAGACGAAAAUCGCCUCGUCCUGCUCACCAACUGUUCAUAGUAUCAGCAAACCUGGGACUUCAACAACUCCGAAACUAGACAUGGUUUCUAACCUAUUCUCGGAGAUUUUUUC
RNAcentral lists this ribosomal RNA (560 nucleotides) under Triticum aestivum (bread wheat). RNAcentral describes it as "partial small subunit ribosomal RNA". Lineage: Eukaryota; Viridiplantae; Streptophyta; Magnoliopsida; Poales; Poaceae. The record is from RNAcentral.